Molecule: unclassified non-coding RNA, 200 nt
Filed under: uncultured Helotiales
Lineage: Eukaryota; Fungi; Ascomycota; Leotiomycetes; Helotiales
Description: sequence contains ITS2
Source: RNAcentral
UUAAGUUCAGCGGGUAUCCCUACCUGAUCCGAGGUCAACCUGAAAAAAUUGGGGGUUGCUGGCUAGCACGCACUCGGGUCUCCAAAGCGAGAAGAAUUACUACGCUUGAAGCCGAGUGGCGCCGCCACUGAUUUUAAGGCCCGCCGGGUGCUGGCGGGGCCCAAUACCAAGCAGAGCUUGAGGGUUGUAAUGACGCUCGA